AUGUCUAUGCAAUUUCAAGAUGAUACAGAUGGUAUACCUCCUCCUGAGGCUGAAAGUAGGAAUGAAAGGCCCCAAAGGAUAAAGCACCCUUCAGCCAAGAUGCUAGCCCAUCUAAUAGAUGAAAAGGAGCUCCUCCAUGUGAGGUUAGGUUCGGCAUGGGAGCGAAUUGUAACAUUGAUGGACAGAAUUGAGAGCUUGGGUAUUACAAGGGUGCCAUCCAUAUUACAGACCGACCUUGAAGAGACCUUCGGUCUCUGGAGGGGUUUGGUGUCUAAGAUAGUCCAGGUCCUCGAGCGCAUUAACGCCAAGGAUUCAGAGUUAGAAAUAGUGAGUGUCUUAGCUGACACUAAUGAGAAAGAAAAUAAGGUGAGGGCAAUUCUAGAUGCCUUGGAAUUUAGUUCUCCACCUGUUAAUCUAAGGUCUGAGCCAAAAGGAAAUCAGUCUUCCUUAUGCAGCCAUGAGACCAAUCUUUUAAAAUCACCUGCUGUGGCACUUAGUCUUAAGUCCAACCGCUCUAGCCAGGUAUCUAAGCUAAGGGAGUGUGCAUCAUCUAAACAUAGCCACUCUAGCAAGUCUUCUGCUGCUGGGAGUGCCAUCUCUUCCCUAGCUGCCUUGCACAUUAAGGAGGCUGCGCGUCUGAAGCUAAAGAGCAAGGUAGCGGGGGCGGAGGCUGAUGCUAAGGCAGCUGAUCUCACCCUUCCCUUUAAAGAAGAAGAGCAACGACUGCAAAUAGAACAGGCCCGUAGACAAAGCGAAAUGCAAAUGGAACAGGCCCAAAGGCAAGGUGAAAUAGAAAUGCUUAGAAUAAGGAUGGAUGCUACUGCCAAAAAGGUAAGGGCUGAGACUUUGGCCAAGGCCCUAAUUGAGCCACUCACAGAAGAAAAUGUAAGUCAGUUGCCGAAGCAGGACCCUUCUUCCAAGGUGCUUGUGCAUCUUAAUAGCUUAAACAGCCAGUUUUUGGAUGAGGAACAGGAAGACUUCUCUCCUUACCCAGAGCAGGGCCCCAAAGUCACUUUUGAGUUUCCUGCAGAGCAGAGCGUCAUAGCGGGGAGCUCACCCUUGCCCGGGCUACCUGUGCCUCCUGCUAAAUCCCUAGGUCAGUCAAUCAGGGCCUCAAGGCCAAGUGCUAGUUGGCCCUUACAGACAGCUGCACAGGGAGCCACCGAUUCGUCAGUGGUCGAUGUCAUCCCUCCAAGAGGCCAAAGGUUGACGCAAGGUGCACGGUGGGAGUCCACUCCACAACAGCAAACUCCUCAAUUGUUCCCUUCGACGCCAGAGUCCCAGCUUGUCUCCAUCAUCAGAAGCCCCAGAAGAGAUCUUAAGGACAAGGGUGUCGAAAAGUUUUCGGACAAGCCUGAGGAAUUUCUUCUCUGGAAGGCCACCUUCCAGAGAGCAAUCAGAGACUUAAAGUUAUUACCUGAGGAAGAACUGACUCUUCUGGCUGCAUGGUUGGGCCCAGCCUCAUCCUCACAAGUUAAGAAGAUCUACGCAGCCCAUGUAGCCGAUCCCGACAAAGCCCUGGAAAAGGCCUGGGCCAGGUUGCAGCAGAGGUAUGGGGCCAGCACAGAGAUUGAAGCAUCUCUUAUGGACAAGCUCCAAAGGUUCCCAGCUUUGAAACUCAAAGACUUCAAACUCUUGUGGGACCUCAGCGAUCUCCUUACGGAAUUAGAGUCGGCCAAGGAGAAUCCAGAACUGCCCGGUUUGAAGUGCCUCGAUCAGCACCUGUCCCAGAGGCAGAUCUUGACCAAGCUGCCCUUCACUUUGCAAGAACGCUGGGGACAGGAGGUCUUCAACUACAAGGAGGCCCACUCCCAGGCUGUGAUGACCCAUGGGCCUUGUAGUCCUGCUCAGGACAUUGUAAUUCCUGAUGAAGAUGAAAACUUGGGUUUUUUACCUUCCCAGUCUGAACUGGAUUCCUCUCUGCCAGAUCUUUCCCAGGCAGAUCUGGGAACCUUGCACCUGCAAGAAAGUUGUCUCCCAGAAGUAUGUCAAACAAGCCCAGAGCCUACUUCUCCCGUAUUCUUGCGCCGGGAGUUUUGUAAACAACAGAGAAGUUUGGAUUCAGCUUCGCGCAGGAGUGCGCGGAUUGCAGCUAAGAAUGUGGCCAAUUAA
Molecule: long non-coding RNA, 2112 nt
Filed under: Anolis carolinensis (green anole)
Lineage: Eukaryota; Metazoa; Chordata; Lepidosauria; Squamata; Anolidae
Description: lncRNA (ENSACAG00000029352.2)
Source: RNAcentral